UGCAGUCGAACGGUAACGGGCCUUCGGGUGCCGACGAGUGGCGAACGGGUGAGUMWUGCAUCGGAACGUACCUUUCAGUGGGGGAUAACGUAGCGAAAGUUACGCUAAUACCGCAUAUUCUGUGAGCAGGAAAGCAGGGGAUCGCAAGACCUUGCGCUGAUUGAGCGGCCGAUGUCAGAUUAGCUAGUUGGUGAGGUAAAGGCUCACCAAGGCGACGAUCUGUAGCGGGUCUGAGAGGAUGAUCCGCCACACUGGAACUGAGACACGGUCCAGACUCCUACGGGAGGCAGCAGUGGGGAAUUUUGGACAAUGGGGGCAACCCUGAUCCAGCCAUGCCGCGUGAGUGAAGAAGGCCUUCGGGUUGUAAAGCUCUUUCGGCCGGGAAGAAAUCGCAUGGGUUAAUACCCUGUGCGGAUGACGGUACCGGCAUAAGAAGCACCGGCUAACUACGUGCCAGCAGCCGCGGUAAUACGUAGGGUGCGAGCGUUAAUCGGAAUUACUGGGCGUAAAGCGUGCGCAGGCGGUUUUGUAAGACAGGCGUGAAAUCCCCGGGCUCAACCUGGGAACUGCGCUUGUGACUGCAAGGCUAGAGUACGGCAGAGGGGGGGUGGAAUUCCACGUGCAGCAGUGAAAUGCGUAGAGAUGUGGAGGAACACCAAUGGCGAAGGCAGCCCCCUGGGUCGAUACUGACGCUCAUGCACGAAAGCGUGGGUAGCAAACAGGAUUAGAUACCCUGGUAGUCCACGCCCUAAACGAUGUCAACUAGGUGUUGGGUGGGUAAAACCAUUUAGUACCGUAGCUAACGCGUGAAGUUGACCGCUGGGGAGUACGGCCGCAAGGUUAAAACUCAAAGGAAUUGACGGGGACCCGCACAACGUGGAUGAUGUGGAUUAAUUCGAUGCAACGCGAAAACUUACCUACCCUUGACAUGUCAGAAACUUGGCAGAGAUGCCUUGGUGCCCGAAAGGGAAUCUGAACACAGGUGCUGCAUGGCUGUCGUCAGCUCGUGUCGUGAGAUGUUGGGUUAAGUCCCGCAACGAGCGCAACCCUUGUCGUUAAUUGCCAUCAUUUAGUUGGGCACUUUAACGAGACUGCCGGUGACAAACCGGAGGAAGGUGGGGAUGACGUCAAGUCCUCAUGGCCCUUAUGGGUAGGGCUUCACACGUCAUACAAUGGUCGGUMCAGARGGUKGCCAAGCCGCGAGGCGGAGCCAAUCCCAGAAAGCCGAUYGUAGUCCGGAUUGCAGGCUGCAACUCGCCUGCAUGAAGUCGGAAUCGCUAGUAAUCGCGAUCAG
RNAcentral lists this ribosomal RNA (1294 nucleotides) under uncultured bacterium. RNAcentral's name for it is "bacterial SSU rRNA". The record is from RNAcentral.